UACGUAGGGCGCAAGCGUUAUCCGGAAUUAUUGGGCGUAAAGAGCUCGUAGGCGGUUUGUCGCGUCUGCCGUGAAAGUCCGGGGCUCAACUCCGGAUCUGCGGUGGGUACGGGCAGACUAGAGUGAUGUAGGGGAGACUGGAAUUCCUGGUGUAGCGGUGAAAUGCGCAGAUAUCAGGAGGAACACCGAUGGCGAAGGCAGGUCUCUGGGCCGAUAUUGACGCUGAGGAGCGAAAGCGUGGGGAGCAAACAGG
RNAcentral lists this ribosomal RNA (253 nucleotides) under uncultured bacterium. RNAcentral describes it as "partial 16S ribosomal RNA". It matches the Rfam family "Bacterial small subunit ribosomal RNA", at positions 524 to 776 of the family's 1533-position model. The record is from RNAcentral.